This 478-nucleotide ribosomal RNA is filed under the name uncultured bacterium. RNAcentral describes it as "partial 16S ribosomal RNA". It matches the Rfam family "Bacterial small subunit ribosomal RNA", at positions 28 to 523 of the family's 1533-position model. The record is from RNAcentral.
GACGAACGCUGGCGGCGUGCUUAACACAUGCAAGUCGAGCGAUGAAGCUCCUUCGGGAGUGGAUUAGCGGCGGACGGGUGAGUAACACGUGGGUAACCUGCCUCAUAGAGGGGAAUAGCCUUUCGAAAGGAAGAUUAAUACCGCAUAAGAUUGUAGCUUCGCAUGAAGCAGCAACUAGAGGAGUAAUCCGCUAUGAGAUGGACCCGCGUCGCAUUAGCUAGUUGGUGAGGUAACGGCUCACCAAGGCGACGAUGCGUAGCCGACCUGAGAGGGUGAUCGGCCACAUUGGGACUGAGACACGGCCCAGACUCCUACGGGAGGCAGCAGUGGGGAAUAUUGCACAAUGGGGGAAACCCUGAUGCAGCAACGCCGCGUGAGUGAUGACGGUCUUCGGAUUGUAAAGCUCUGUCUUCAGGGACGAUAAUGACGGUACCUGAGGAGGAAGCCACGGCUAACUACGUGCCAGCCGCCGCAGUAA